ACAGUGGAGAGUUUGAUCCUGGCUCAGGAUGAACGCUGGCUACAGGCUUAACACAUGCAAGUCGAGGGGAAACGGCAUUGAGUGCUUGCACUGAAUGGACGUCGACCGGCGCACGGGUGAGUAACGCGUAUCCAACCUUCCCGUUACUGCGGGAUAACCUGCCGAAAGGCAGACUAAUACCGCAUGUUCUUCGAUGACGGCAUCAGAUUCGAAGCAAAGACUCGUCGGUAACGGAGGGGGAUGCGUCUGAUUAGCUGGUUGGCGGGGCGACGGCCCACCAAGGCGACGAUCAGUAGGGGUUCUGAGAGGAAGGUCCCCCACAUUGGAACUGAGACACGGUCCAAACUCCUACGGGAGGCAGCAGUGAGGAAUAUUGGUCAAUGGGCGGAAGCCUGAACCAGCCAAGUAGCGUGCAGGAGGACGGCCCUACGGGUUGUAAACUGCUUUUAUGCGGGGAUAAAGUGAGGGACGUGUCCCUUUUUGCAGGUACCGCAUGAAUAAGGACCGGCUAAUUCCGUGCCAGCAGCCGCGGUAAUACGGAAGGUCCGGGCGUUAUCCGGAUUUAUUGGGUUUAAAGGGAGCGUAGGCCGGGGAUUAAGUGUGUUGUGAAAUGUAGGCGCCCAACGUCUGACUUGCAGCGCAUACUGGUUCCCUUGAGUACGCGCAACGCCGGCGGAAUUCGUCGUGUAGCGGUGAAAUGCUUAGAUAUGACGAAGAACCCCGAUUGCGAAGGCAGCCGG
Molecule: ribosomal RNA, 740 nt
Filed under: Prevotella denticola
Lineage: Bacteria; Pseudomonadati; Bacteroidota; Bacteroidia; Bacteroidales; Prevotellaceae
Description: bacterial SSU rRNA
Rfam family: Bacterial small subunit ribosomal RNA
Source: RNAcentral